RNAcentral lists this ribosomal RNA (277 nucleotides) under uncultured bacterium. Its description in RNAcentral is "partial 16S ribosomal RNA". It matches the Rfam family "Bacterial small subunit ribosomal RNA", at positions 28 to 306 of the family's 1533-position model. The record is from RNAcentral.
GAUGAACGCUAGCGGCAGGCUUAACACAUGCAAGUCGAGGGGUAGAGGAAGCUUGCUUCCUUGAGACCGGCGCACGGGUGCGUAACGCGUAUACAAUCUACCUUUUACAGAGGGAUAGCCCCAGAGAAAUUUGGAUUAAUACCUCAUAGUAUUUUCGGAUCGCAUGAUUUGAUUAUUAAAGUUCCAACGGUAAAGAUGAGUAUGCGUCCCAUUAGCUAGAUGGUAAGGUAACGGCUUACCAUGGCAAUGAUGGGUAGGGGUCCUGAGAGGGAGACCU